RNAcentral lists this non-coding RNA (29 nucleotides) under Homo sapiens (human). Lineage: Eukaryota; Metazoa; Chordata; Mammalia; Primates; Hominidae. The record is from RNAcentral.
UGAAAAGUGCCUGGGAUGUGGUCCUGCUC